AACGCGAAGAACCUUACCAGCUCUUGACAUGUCUCGUAUGGGGGCCGGAGACGGUUUCCUUCAGUUCGGCUGGCGAGAACACAGGUGCUGCAUGGCUGUCGUCAGCUCGUGUCGUGAGAUGUUGGGUUAAGUCCCGCAACGAGCGCAACCCUCGCCCUUAGUUGCCAUCAUUCAGUUGGGCACUCUAGGGGGACUGCCGGUGAUAAGCCGAGAGGAAGGUGGGGAUGACGUCAAGUCCUCAUGGCCCUUAUGGGCUGGGCUACACACGUGCUACAAUGGCGGUGACAAUGGGAUGCUGAGGGGCGACCCCGAGCAAAUCUCAAAAAGCCGUCUCAGUUCGGAUUGCACUCUGCAACUCGAGUGCAUGAAGGUGGAAUCGCUAGUAAUCGUAGAUCAGAACGCUACGGUGAAUACGUUCCCGGGCCUUGUA
Molecule: ribosomal RNA, 430 nt
Filed under: uncultured Alphaproteobacteria bacterium
Lineage: Bacteria; Pseudomonadati; Pseudomonadota; Alphaproteobacteria
Description: bacterial SSU rRNA
Rfam family: Bacterial small subunit ribosomal RNA
Source: RNAcentral